GCCCCUAAGUCUCACUCACCUUCAGGUGGUUUUUUGCCACAGGUUCUUCCAGAAUUAUGACUCUUAGUGCCGCAGUUCUGACAUUUAUCACUCAGCAGUCCAGUCCAAGGAGCAGAAUAGCAGCUGUGGCCUGUAUCAGAACCUGAAAAAUCCCAAGUUACACAAAGGACAGAACCCUUUUACACUCUUAAAAUUGAGGACCUUAAAGAGCUUCUGCUUAUUACAGUUUUUAUCUAUCAUAUAUCAUAAUAUGCACCCUGUUUUAUACCUGUGGUGAAAAAUCUCCCCCUGUAUUGGAGAAGAGCUAUUAUACAAGUCAGUUGAUGAUGGACUGGUAUAGAGGUCCCCUCCCAGCUCUCAUUUUCUUUGCUUCUGAGAAAUGUUAUGGACAAGUCGGCAGCAACUCUCCCACGUCCUGUGAGCUCACCAGGUGCAGAUUAUGGGUCGUGCUGCAAGGAUGACACAUAGAACUGAGGCCACUGCACGACUGAGUGCAUGGAGUCCUGUGGCUCCCACACAAACAGAGAGACUGGGAUGAUACGGGCGUGGCAUGUUGUCCUCCACACAGAGAUCCCUUCUGCCUGCAUUUCUGAGAGCUUCCCUAUAAGAAACUGCACCCAGCGACAACUUGGCCUGGUAAGAACAGGUCUACCAGAUGUUGAAAGUAAAUCUGGUUUGUUCCCCAGAGGAUAAUAUCUAAUUAUCAUGCACACAUAUGCAAUAUAGAAAUUUGAAGUAUGGAAUUAUAUUUGGAGUUUUCUUCAUA
Molecule: long non-coding RNA, 766 nt
Organism: Leopardus geoffroyi (Geoffroy's cat)
Lineage: Eukaryota; Metazoa; Chordata; Mammalia; Carnivora; Felidae
Exons: 4
Source: RefSeq, a predicted model, not a curated record